Molecule: unclassified non-coding RNA, 432 nt
Filed under: soil metagenome
Description: partial contains 5.8S ribosomal RNA, internal transcribed spacer 2, and large subunit ribosomal RNA
Rfam family: 5.8S ribosomal RNA (bases 1-120)
Source: RNAcentral
GAUGAAGAACGUAGCGAAAUGCGAUACGUAAUGUGAAUUGCAGAAUUCAGUGAAUCAUCGAAUCUUUGAACGCAUAUUGCGCUCUCUGGUAUUCCGGAGAGCAUGCUUGUUUGAGUAUCAGUAAACACCUCAACUUCCAUAUCUUUUUUGAAAUGGGAGUUGGACUUGAGUGAUCCCAACGCUUUUCCUCACCGAAAAGUGGCGGGUUACUUGAAAUGCACGUGCAGCUGGACUUUUCUCUGAGCUAUAAGCAUAUCUAUUUAGUCUGCCUAAAAAACAGAUUAUUACCUUUGCUGCAGCUAACAUAAAGGAGAUUAGUUCUUGUGCUGACUGAUGCAGGAUUCACAAAGACGGCUUCGGCCGACUUUGUAAACUCGAUCUCAAAUCAAGUAAGACUACCCGCUGAACUUAAGCAUAUCAAUAAGCGGAGGA